Molecule: non-coding RNA, 1213 nt
Organism: Chrysemys picta bellii (western painted turtle)
Lineage: Eukaryota; Metazoa; Chordata; Testudines; Emydidae
Source: RefSeq, a predicted model, not a curated record
CCUACAUUAUUUAUCAGUGAUUUUAUGUUUCCUUCCAGGUCAUUAAUAAACAUGUUAAAGUUUGCAGAUGACACAAAGAUUGGGAGAGUGGUAAAUAAUGAAGAAGGCAGGUCACUGAAGCAGAGCGAUCUGGAUCUCUUGGUAAACAUAGACGAAGGAAGGAUAAAUUGACAAAAACUCGAUCACGUUAACAAAUAUAUGUAAAAAUACCAAACAAAUCCUAACUGAACAUCACAUUCCAGACCCUCUCUGCAGCCCUAAACAGCCUGAAAUGCACAAGGGUAAAGAGAGUAAAGGGCCUCUAGUAAUUCCAAAAUCCAGUCUCCUGUGAUUACCGGCCAACCUUUAAACAAAAUGCCUUCACACACUGUCAACCGUAACUGUAAUUCCAUUGUCUUUACAUGCUGGCCAUUGAGCUCCCAGUUGAGAAAACAGUCAAGCAGAACACAGUGUGUAAUACAGAAAUCUAGAGGAGACAAAGAGAAAGUCCAUCAGGGAGAGAGAAAUAUUGUUCAGUACAGAUCACCAAGCAAAAUCUACACAAAUUCCAGAAGAUAAGAAUUGUUAAUAAUUUCCUCCUCUGAGUGGUCGGCCCUGGCCUCUUCUGCAACCUCUUGUUCCCAUGAAGAUAACAUUUUUGAAUUAAAAAAAUCUUGGCACCAUUCAUGUAUAUCCAUAUAUAUAUGAUAUAAACUAUUGCAGAGUUUCCCUGGAUAAAACACUGGAACAUUUCCAUCCCUGUGCUAGAAAUCUUUGACUUUAGACAAUCAAAUUUCUAUUAUCUAUGAUGGGUUGUAUGGGACAUUUGAGGAAAUAUGGACAUGUCUGAAAAGUUAAACUUUCUGCAUUUUCUUUCAAGUAAACUCCAAGCUCUGUCUCCAACAGACAUACCUACAGUACUAAGUGUUCUUGGGAUCGGAAAGUGAACCAUUAAUUCCACCACACAGCAAACACCUGCAGCUGCUCCUGUAAUCCAAAAUACUGGUUAAGGUCCAUCACAUUUUUUUCUUUUAAGGAUCUGAUUAAGCUCCCAGUGGGGGCUAAAUCAAGCCCUAAAAUAGUAUCUGGACCUUCCAGAGGAUUCCAUGCCAUUUAAACUUUUUUGCACAUUCCACUACUCAAAGGUUUGUAGCCCCAGUGUUAAUUUCCAGUAUUUCCACGAUUGUAUGUGUUUUGGUAACAAUGUAUUUUCUUAAAUAAAUUGCUUUUCAGG